This is a long non-coding RNA of Raphanus sativus (radish), 891 nucleotides long. RefSeq lists it as uncharacterized. The record is from RefSeq and is a predicted model, not a curated record. Lineage: Eukaryota; Viridiplantae; Streptophyta; Magnoliopsida; Brassicales; Brassicaceae. The transcript has 4 exons.
UGAUGCGAAACAGUAAAAGGUUGUCUCGUUUAUAUAGAUGGAUGUUUUGUCGGUUAAUUUUUGGGAGGUACAGAAGAAAGUACAAUCUUGAUAUUUUCGACGGCUUAGAUCUGUUUAAUGAUUGAGAUAGCUGAGGUGGCAAUCUGCGUCUUCGCUUUUGAUUGGUUUAAUUCUUGAAGGGAUCGAUGACGUGGAGUUUUUGUGUUUCUUGAAAUUUGAGGUAAUGUUAGUUUUGGAUCAUUCGUUGGUGAUUAGCGAUCAUUGGCCGAGCCGUGUUUCUUGACACAAGUUCCGGUUCGGUUUUGAAAUCGAUUAAAUUUUCCGUCAGCUCCGGUUCGGUUUUGAGAAAUCAUUCUGAUACUUCCGGUAAACUUAUAUUACUUCCACUCUUCUCCAGUGUUAAGAGAGGAGGUACUUUGAUUCUAGCAAAUUUACACGAGGUACGUCGUGAAGGUUUUAUCUACUGGGGAAGGGGAAGAUGAAGGCAAGUGUGUGUGUGUAAACCCUGGAAGACUUGCAAAAGGAGAAGAUGCAGGUACUUUUGUUGAGCUUACCUACAAGGGCGGUCCAGAAUCAAUGCAUGCUUCUAUCAUCUCUAUCUGUCUUGAAGUUGAACCUAAAUGGCGUCAAGUACUUGAUGAUACUGAAGCUACAAGUACUAAAGGUGUUAUAAAUAUUGCGUACAGAGACAUAUUCAGUAAUCUCUCCACGAGAAACAGCUUGGGCUAGCGGUCAGGAUGAUGGCAAUGGCGAACUUAAGAUCACAGUGGGAAUAUAUCUUAUGCCGAUCACAGUGCUUAUAUGUCUGUGUUUUUUACUUUCAAAAUUAUAUGACUUCGUGUAUAUGCUAUAUGCUCUUUUGAACCUUGCCUCAGUUUUGAAACCACUCUC